CCUACGGGUGGCUGCAGUGAGGAAUAUUGGUCAAUGGGCGCGAGCCUGAACCAGCCAAGUAGCGUGAAGGAUGACUGCCCUACGGGUUGUAAACUUCUUUUAUAAAGGAAUAAAGUGAGGCACGUGUGCCUUUUUGUAUGUACUUUAUGAAUAAGGAUCGGCUAACUCCGUGCCAGCAGCCGCGGUAAUACGGAGGAUCCGAGCGUUAUCCGGAUUUAUUGGGUUUAAAGGGAGCGUAGAUGGGUUGUUAAGUCAGUUGUGAAAGUUUGCGGCUCAACCGUAAAAGUGCAAUUGAUACUGGCAGUCUUGAGUACAGGUGAGGUAGGCGGAAUUCGUGGUGUAGCGGUGAAAUGCUUAGAUAUCACGAAGAACUCCGAUUGCGAAGGCAGCUUACUAAACUGCCACUGACAUUGAUGCUCGAAAGUGUGGGGAGCAAACAGGAUUAGAUACCCGGGUAGUC
Molecule: ribosomal RNA, 460 nt
Filed under: uncultured bacterium
Lineage: Bacteria
Description: partial 16S ribosomal RNA
Rfam family: Bacterial small subunit ribosomal RNA
Source: RNAcentral